Molecule: long non-coding RNA, 763 nt
Organism: Raphanus sativus (radish)
Lineage: Eukaryota; Viridiplantae; Streptophyta; Magnoliopsida; Brassicales; Brassicaceae
Exons: 2
Source: RefSeq, a predicted model, not a curated record
UGCAAAGAUUGUAUGAUGUCAUGCUCAAGAUCAUCGAACGUGUUGAGAAUGAUAGCAGAAGCGCGUUUGAGCUGGUCAGUCUCAUGGAGAGAAAAAUUAAGCAUGAUGUCGUCACGACUAGUUGCACGGAUGAAGCUAGGCAAGGAAGCCACAAGCACUUGCGGUCCAUAAAUUAACACACGUGACACCGAGCUCCUCCGCAGCGUCAAGAGUGAAACUCAUAAUACCGUCUGAUACAAUACAACUCACGGGAGGAACAUCAUCUCUGGUGUUGAUUCGCUCAAGAAGCUCCUUAAAUGGAGCUAGAAAGUUCUUCAUGGUGGCCUCGCAGAUGGAAGGGACGUCCUGCAUCCUAUCCCCAUCAGUCUCUAGUAGACCAUCAGGGAUAGACUCGUACCGGAACGUGGGAAUCCGGUCCAGCGCGUUGGGCCCACGCGAACGGAGUAGACGGUUGUGAUUGUAGACGUUGUUGACGAAGGUGACGUGAAAGCCUUUGUUGUGGAGCAGUUUAGCUAGUUUCAGCAUCGGGUCGAUAUGGCCUUGAGCAGGGAAAGGCACGCAAACAACAUGUGGUUUUUGUCCGCUAGAAACGGUAUAAGAAGCCAUUUUUCUUUCUCGUGCGUCAAAAAAGAAGGAACAAUAUGGAUGUGAUUGAUUUGGGAUUUAAAGGACUUUACGGUGAGAUUAUGUAAUUGAAUUCUUGUACGUAGUAACGUUGAUUGUUGACAUGUGCGUCACGAGCGAAAAUUUCUAGAUGCCGUAA